This is a long non-coding RNA of Oxyura jamaicensis (ruddy duck), 944 nucleotides long. RefSeq lists it as uncharacterized. The transcript has 3 exons. The record is from RefSeq and is a predicted model, not a curated record. Lineage: Eukaryota; Metazoa; Chordata; Aves; Anseriformes; Anatidae.
GCACCACCAGCGUGUUGCUCACUGCUUUCUGUAUGCAGAAGCCUGCUGGGAAAGCUCUGCAGCAGCUCUGGUUGCAGCUGGCUGGGCACCUGGCUUGCUGGGCUUGGAGCUGGCUGAGGCUGGUACCUCCCGGAUGGGGCUGCAAGCAUUGGCUCUUUAAGUUUUUCAGAAAGGUGGCUUCUCCAGGGCUCUGCUCCUUGCCAAGCUGUACUUUAGCCAGUAAAUGAAAGAACUGAGUAAUGGCUGCGUGCUGACAAAAGUCAUAACCCAAAUGACGACAGUGUGUAGGACUCCAAACCACAACUAUUCCUAGCAAAUGAUCCCAAACUACUAAUGUCUGGAGCCCUGAAGACCCAUGUUGGGUUAGACAAAUCUCCUAACCUACCAUAAUGACACCAGCCAGCAGCAAAUCGCCUCCCAGAAGCGAGCAGCCAUGUAAUCAGCUGAGCAUGGGAACCACAGGUUCAGACGUCUCUGGUUACCAGAGACACAGACUUGGGCUCUGGCCAACCUUUUGGCUCAGGUUGGAAGCGGGACAGUGGCCGUAGUGCUCUGGGAAUGCUGGUGGGAGGACCAUGAGGAUGAAAUCCAGCAGUCACCGCCUGGCCCACGUGCUCUGAGGUGGUGCUGAGUGAAUCCCGGGCAUGUGCUGCUCCGCCUGCUGUCCCCGCUGCCUUACUGACAGGGAGGCACCUGGAGCUGGGGCCUCUUCUUGUCCUGCUUCAAAACUGUAAUUUCAGGGCAACUGAAUCACCGAAACUUUCGGGUGGAUUUGUGCACGUUUGCUUUGCUUGGGAAAAUAACAAAACCUAGCAGAGCAUUUAAUUUCAGCACUUCCAAAAUGAAAAAUUCCACUUUGGCUCAAGUGAAAUGUACUUUUAAAUACAAUUAUCUCUGUUUUAAUUUAGCUCCUCUCCCUCCAAAACAAAAUGUUGAGUUUGAAC